UACGCUCUGAGCUUCGCUGGUGUCGCUCCUAGCGGUUACUAAUUCAACUUUUACCGGUAAUUUUUAAAUUUAUUAUUUAAUUGUUAUCGCUUAAUAUUUACAACGCAAAAAAGUAAUUAAAUUGUAAUCGAUUUUUUUAAGAUUUUUCUAAUCAUUUUGACGUUCUAUUGAUAAAAUAUCAAUUUCUUACUUCGGAUACUUUGACAAUAAUCGUGUAGAUGGCGCUAAGAUUAUAAUAGAUUAUUUAUAAUUAGAUAUUACGGAACAUUAAAAAAACUUAAAUUCAGUAUUUAAAACGUAAGUAUAUUUAAGGUAAAAAUAUAUACCACAGCUUUGGCCAACUAAUAUUGUUUAUAAUUAAUGUUUUUAAUUUUAAUUUUAAAUUAAUCACUUUGACAUUUAUGUCAAAUUUCCAGUAAACGUUUACAAACUUGUCACUACUGGCGUUCGCGAAUUUGUAAAUAUCCCCUCUACGUACGAGCUCACAGCGUAUAAAAUAACUACUAAGUAUUGGGAUAAACCGUAAUCGUACCCCUUCCUAACUGCCAAAGUGUCAUGGCCGCCGUCGGGACCUAUUGUGCUGACAUUUACAAUGUUUACAUAUAGAAAAGUUUGUUUUUUUCUGCUUAUAAUGCCGUUUUCUAAAGAUAUUAGUGAACAAAAUCGAUUUGCUAACAAUAUUUAAUAUAUUUUAAAUGUGCUAAAAUUGGAUUCAACAGCAAAAGUCGCAUAAAUAACAUAUAAAUGACGAAUUUGUUUACCUAUUACAAAUGGGGUUAUGUGGUUGUAACUGUUUAUUUUGGGAAUAAAAUGAAAAUGAUCAAUUAAACGACUGGAAAACUAUAGUGAAGUGAAGAACAUCUUGAAGUUCCAAUGAUGUUUCAAGAUGAGAUAAAUCGAAAUAAUGGUUGUAUGUUAGAAGGACAGAGAAUACGAAGAAAUGUUAUUGCUGCAUACUUAGUGUAGUGAAAUACAAACUUCAAACAUUAUAAUAUAUUUUUUUAUUUCAAACAUUUCAUAUGAUUAUGAAAGAACAUCUUCCUCUUUAAAACAAUGAAGAAGUGAAGAACAUAAUAAAGUUCCAACGAAAAUGAUUCCAGAUGAGGAAAAUCGAAAUAAUGGUUGUAUGUUACGUGUAUAGAGAAUACGAAGAAAUGUUAUUGCUGCAAACUUAGUGUAGUGAAUUAAAAACUUAUUGUCAAAUACAAAUCAAUUUAUUUCAUACUUUUAUAAUAUAUAGUGGUACAAUUUUAUAUGUGUUCAAAUAAAAAUAUUAAUAAAUAAAAUACAAUAAACACAAA
RNAcentral lists this long non-coding RNA (1301 nucleotides) under Diabrotica virgifera virgifera (western corn rootworm). RNAcentral describes it as "uncharacterized LOC126889870". Lineage: Eukaryota; Metazoa; Arthropoda; Insecta; Coleoptera; Chrysomelidae. The record is from RNAcentral.